UACGUAGGGUCCGAGCGUUGUCCGGAAUUACUGGGCGUAAAGAGCUCGUAGGUGGUUUGUCGCGUUGUUCGUGAAAACUCACAGCUUAACUGUGGGCGUGCGGGCGAUACGGGCAGACUGGAGUACUGCAGGGGAGACUGGAAUUCCUGGUGUAGCGGUGGAAUGCGCAGAUAUCAGGAGGAACACCGGUGGCGAAGGCGGGUCUCUGGUCCGAUACUGACGCUGAGGAGCGAAAGCAUGGGUAGCGAACAGG
Molecule: ribosomal RNA, 253 nt
Filed under: uncultured bacterium
Lineage: Bacteria
Description: partial 16S ribosomal RNA
Rfam family: Bacterial small subunit ribosomal RNA
Source: RNAcentral